This 146-nucleotide small nuclear RNA is filed under the name Phasianus colchicus (ring-necked pheasant). Its description in RNAcentral is "U1 spliceosomal RNA (ENSPCLG00000007034.1)". It matches the Rfam family "U1 spliceosomal RNA", at positions 19 to 166 of the family's 166-position model. From Rfam's summary of the family: U1 is a small nuclear RNA (snRNA) component of the spliceosome (involved in pre-mRNA splicing). Its 5' end forms complementary base pairs with the 5' splice junction, thus defining the 5' donor site of an intron. There are significant differences in sequence and secondary structure between metazoan and yeast U1 snRNAs, the latter being much longer (568 nucleotides as compared to 164 nucleotides in human). The record is from Rfam by way of RNAcentral. Lineage: Eukaryota; Metazoa; Chordata; Aves; Galliformes; Phasianidae.
AAACAUCAUGUACUGGAAUUGAAUUUUCCCAGGACGAGGCUCAUCCCCUGCACUCCGGGUGUGCUGACCCCUGCGAUUUCCCCAAAUGCGGGAAACUCGACUGCAUAAUUUGUGGUAGUGGGGGACUGCGUUCGCGCUCUCCCCUG